This 252-nucleotide ribosomal RNA is filed under the name uncultured bacterium. Its description in RNAcentral is "partial 16S ribosomal RNA". It matches the Rfam family "Bacterial small subunit ribosomal RNA", at positions 524 to 776 of the family's 1533-position model. The record is from RNAcentral.
UACAGAGGGGGCAAGCGUUGUUCGGAAUUACUGGGCGUAAAGGGCGCGUAGGCGGCCCUCUAAGUCGAACGUGAAAUCCCUGGGCUCAACCCAGGAACUGCGUCCGAGACUGGGGGCUAGAAUCCGGGAGAGGGAUGUGGAAUUCCAGGUGUAGCGGUGAAAUGCGUAGAUAUCUGGAGGAACAUCGGUGGCGAAGGCGGCAUCCUGGACCGGUAUUGACGCUGAGGCGCGAAAGCCAGGGGAGCAAACGGG